GUGCUUGCUUCAGCAGCACAUAUACUAAAACUGGAAUGAUACAGAGAUUAACAUGGCCCCUGCACAAGGAUAACAGGCCAAUUUGUGAAAAUUUCCAUAGUUUU
Small nuclear RNA from Jaculus jaculus (lesser Egyptian jerboa), 104 nucleotides. The record is from Ensembl. Lineage: Eukaryota; Metazoa; Chordata; Mammalia; Rodentia; Dipodidae.